Molecule: ribosomal RNA, 1195 nt
Filed under: Eleutherodactylus atkinsi (Atkin's robber frog)
Lineage: Eukaryota; Metazoa; Chordata; Amphibia; Anura; Eleutherodactylidae
Description: partial 16S ribosomal RNA
Rfam family: Bacterial large subunit ribosomal RNA
Source: RNAcentral
GCAUCAUGGUUUAACCAGUAAAAUCAGGCAAAAAGAAUUAUAGUCUGAUACCCCGAAACUAAGUGAGCUACUCUAGGACAGCCUAAUGGGCCAACCCGUCUCUGUUGCAAAAGAGUGGGAAGAUCUUAGAGUAGAAAUGAUAUAUCUAGCGAACUUAGCGAUAGCUGGUUACUCAGGAAAAGAAUUUCAGUUCAACCUAAAACUAUAAUAAUACUUAAAAAUAUAAACCUAGUUUUAGAGUAAAUCAAAUAGGUAACAGCCUAUCUGAAACAGGAUACAGCCUCCAUCUAUGGGUAAUGUUAUAUUUAAAUAACUAAGUAGGCCUAAAAGCAGCCACCUUUAAAAUAGCGUCAAAGCUUAAUUAUUGUACCCAAUAAAUUCCAAAAAUAAUCUAAAACCCUACCUCAAUACUGAGUAAUUUCAUACGUAUAUGAAAAAUAUAAUGUUAAAACUAGUAACAUGAAGCUAACCCUUCUCUUAAAUAUAAGUGUAAGUCAGAAUGGAACAUACACUGACAACUAACAGCUUAAAUUAUAGUAACAAACUUAUUCAAGAAAACCCUACUAACUUUUCCCCACUGUUAACCUAACACAAGAAUAUUUUAAGAAAGACUUAAAGAAAAAGAAGGAACUCGGCAAAACUGAUUCCGCCUGUUUACCAAAAACAUCGCCUCCUGAACCCAAGCUAUAGGAGGUCCAGCCUGCCCAGUGACUCUGUUUAACGGCCGCGGUAUCCUAACCGUGCGAAGGUAGCGUAAUCACCUGUUUUUUAAUUAAAGACCUGUAUGAAAGGCAUCACGAGAAUCACACUGUCUCCUUUCUCAAGUCCGUGAAACUAAUCUCCUCGUGAAAAAGCGAGAAUACUACUACAAGACGAGAAGACCCUUUGGAGCUUAAGAUAAAAUAAAUACCUGCCCACUUCAUCUUUUAUACACCUCACAGCACUCUAUUUAUAAAUCUUGGGUUGGGGCAACCACGGAGUAAAAGAAAACCUCCGAGCUGAACGGAAAUUUCCUAAACAAAAAGCAACAGCUUUAUGUAUCAAUAAACUGACACAAUUUGACCCAAUAUAUUUGAUUAACGAACCAAGUUACCCCAGGGAUAACAGCGCAAUCCACUUAAAGAGUUCAUAUCGAAAAGUGGGCUUACGACCUCGAUGUUGGAUCAAGGUACCCCGGUGGUGCAGCCGCUACCAA